UGGGAUGUGGCCAAGUGGUAAGGCAACGGUUUUUGGUACCGUCAUACGCAGGUUCGAACCCUGCCAUCCCAACUA
RNAcentral lists this transfer RNA (75 nucleotides) under Ignavibacteriae bacterium HGW-Ignavibacteriae-4. RNAcentral describes it as "tRNA-Gln". It matches the Rfam family "tRNA". Rfam says of the family: Transfer RNA (tRNA) molecules are approximately 80 nucleotides in length. Their secondary structure includes four short double-helical elements and three loops (D, anti-codon, and T loops). The record is from RNAcentral. Lineage: Bacteria; Pseudomonadati; Ignavibacteriota.